This 497-nucleotide ribosomal RNA is filed under the name uncultured bacterium. Its description in RNAcentral is "partial 16S ribosomal RNA". It matches the Rfam family "Bacterial small subunit ribosomal RNA", at positions 28 to 507 of the family's 1533-position model. The record is from RNAcentral.
GAUGAACGCUGGCGGCGUGCCUAAUACAUGCAAGUCGAGCGAACGGACGAGAAGCUUGCUUCUCUGAUGUUAGCGGCGGACGGGUGAGUAACACGUGGAUAACCUACCUAUAAGACUGGGAUAACUUCGGGAAACCGGAGCUAAUACCGGAUAAUAUUUUGAACCGCAUGGUUCAAAAGUGAAAGACGGUCUUGCUGUCACUUCUAGAUGGAUCCGCGCUGCAUUAGCUAGUUGGUAAGGUAACGGCUUACCAAGGCAACGAUGCAUAGCCGACCUGAGAGGGUGAUCGGCCACACGGGAACUGAGACACGGUCCAGAGUCCUACGGGAGGCAGCAGUAUGGAAUCUUCCGCAAUGGGCGAAAGCCUGACGGAGCAACGCCGCGUGAGUGAUGAAGGUCUUCGGAUCGGAAAACUCUGUUAUGAGGGAAGAACAUAUGUGUAAGUAACUGUGCACAGCGUGACGGUACCGAAUCAGAAAGCCACGGCUAACUACGUG